CCUGUUGGUGAUUGGGCGGCAGGUGUGUGGUUAUGGGUGCGCAGUUCCCCGGCGUCUGCAUGUUGGUGGGCCGGUCGGUGGUUCGGUUGGUGGGGUGGGCGGUUGCUCACUUGCCGUCCGGUCUGCUUGCUGGCUUGCUCAUUCACUUGCGGCGGUGUUUGGAGGCGCUGCGUGGUCGUGGCCAUGAGCAAGCAGUGUCGCGUCAAGCCGACGGGGCGGUGGUGUCACCUUGAAGCCAUGUCUGUGGUGUAGUAGUCGCAGGUGUGGGCGGGUGUUGGGCAGUGCUCUGCACGUGCUGUGGAGCCUGUCGGCUCGUUCGCAUGCCUCCGGAUGCCCUUGACCGGGUGUCUGCGGGCGGAUGGCACGUUUACUUUGAACAAAUUUGAGUGCUCAAGCCAGGCCGAUGUUGCUUGUAGAGUUUUGCAUGGAAUAAUGGAAUAGGACUUCGGUUCUAUUUCGUUGGUUUUCGGAUCCGAAGUAAUGAUCAAAAGAGACAGGCGGGGGCGUUUGUAUGGCUGCGCUAGAGGUGAAAUUCAUGGACCGUAGCCAGACAAGCUAAAGCGAAAGCAUUCGUCAAGCAUGUUUUCAUUGGCCAUGAGCGAAAGUCAGAGGCUCGAAGACGAUCAGAUACCGUCCUAGUUCUGACCAUAAACGAUGCCAACUGACGAUCCGUGGUGGUAGUGAUGUUGCCUUCCCCGCGGGCAGUCGCCGGGAAACCGUUAAGUGUUUGGGUUCCGGGGGAAGUAUGGUUGCAAAGCUGAAACUUAAAGGAAUUGACGGAAGGGCACCACCAGGAGUGGAGCCUGCGGCUUAAUUUGACUCAACACGGGAAAACUCACCCGGGCCGGACACUGUGAGGAUUGACAGAUUGAGAGCUCUUUCUUGAUUUGGUGGUUGGUGGUGCAUGGCCGUUCUUAGUUGGUGGAGCGAUUUGUCUGGUUAAUUCCGAUAACGAACGAGACUCCAGCCUGCUAAUUAGUGCAUUCGUCCACUGCGCCUGCGUGGGUGGCGCUGGAUGAUACCGCCUCUCACGGGUGCGCAGCUUGCGCUCCUCCCUCCUCUUGCGUUUCUGCGUGAGAAUUGGGGGGUGGAGGUGCGGGUUGACGCUCGUGGUUGGUUAGUCUGGCGUUGGCCUGCGGGCGCGGCGCGAAUGCUUACUUCUUAGAGGGACAAGCGGGAGAAGCCGCACGAGAUAGAGCAAUAACAGGUCUGUGAUGCCCUUAGAUGUCCGGGGCCGCACGCGCGCUACAAUGACGGUGUCAACGAGUGAGACCUUCUGGCCCGAGAGGGUUGGGCAAACUGGUCAAUCACCGUCGUGACAGGGAUCGGGGCUUGGAAUUGUUCCCCGUGAACGAGGAAUUCCUAGUAAGUGCAAGUCAUAAGCUUGCGCUGAUUACGUCCCUGCCCUUUGUACACACCGCCCGUCGCUACUACCGAUUGAAUGGUUUAGUAAGAUCCUUGGAUCGGCGUCAUUGUGGCGAUUGCCGGAAGGUCAUUGCCCUGCAGUCGCUGAGAAGACGACCAAACUUGAUCAUUUAGAGGAAGUAAAAGUCGUAACAAGGUUUCCGUAGGUGAACCUGCGGAAG
Molecule: ribosomal RNA, 1586 nt
Filed under: Lactiplantibacillus paraplantarum
Lineage: Bacteria; Bacillati; Bacillota; Bacilli; Lactobacillales; Lactobacillaceae
Description: SSU rRNA
Rfam family: Eukaryotic small subunit ribosomal RNA (bases 205-1586)
Source: RNAcentral